GCUUGAACUGAUGCGCUACAGCGAUCUGUCACGACACAUUAAAGAGCCAUAAAAAGAUGAAAAUGAUAUUACAAAUGAUAAAAUUUGAAAGCUGAGACUUUUGUUUCAUAACAAAAGUAACCUGCUCUGUCUUGAGUGUUCUGUCAGAUCAGUUUCCUCUUUGCUCUGUGAUGUAAUUUUCACUGUGUGAGAACAUGAUGUGUGGCAUGAGAUCGCCAUGGCUUGUCGAAUGUAGCAUCAGUAACUAAGGGGGGUGGGUCUUUGUGCAGGGUCAAUUGAGUAUAGAUGAUACACCAAGCUAAAGGACUGAAUAAUACAUAAAAAUUUUAAAAAACACACUACAGAAAUUAAAAAACACACUACAGUUCAAAAGUUUGGGGUCGGCAAGUCUAUUUUGUUUUUCACAGUCUCUUAUGUUCACCAAAGCUGCAUUUACUUGAUCAAAAAUACAGUAAAAACAAAAAUAUUGCAAAAUACACCAACUAAUUUUUUUACCAGUGCCAUUUAGAGAUUUAUCUUAAUACUGCAGGUAGAGCCCUGAUGGCAAAGCAAAUGGAACCACUCAGGCAAACAAGUGGUGAGCAAAUAUUUAAAAACUUUUAAAUUGUAUUAGGGUGCACAGUCAUUUUUAGUCAUAAAAAAAAAGGAUUUCUUGUAAAUAUUCAUCCAAACAUAGCAAAUAAUCAAACUUCCUGGACCACGUUCAAGUAAAACAAAAAUCACCUAAAAUGCCAUGGGUAGGCCCUAAAACUAUUUAAGGAUUACUAAGUUCCCAGACAUGUUUUUCCCUUGAGCAACUGGGGCUUUCCCAGUCUGACCUUUGUUAUAAUGGGCUUUCCCACACAAAGCUUACAUGCUAGUAGGCUAUCACAAUGCUAACACUAGCUAACUAUAGUUUGCUCUGAUGUUAAUCAGUCAGUCGGAACAACACUUGAAAGUCAAUAAAUACACUAAUUUUAAAAGGUACAACUGUUGAAAGUGCUUUAAGAACUGUAAAACAUAACCUCAUUCAGCACUACAGAGAGACUACUGCUUGGAGAAGCAUGAAUAUUGAGAGUCAGAACAUGAGACGGAAAUACAGAGCAACAGAAGGAGAAAGAAAGAGAAAGGCUGUACAGGAGAGGUGAAGCUGAAGCAGACCCAGUCAGUCCAUAUAAGGCCAGUCUGAAGGAGGAGAGCAGCCUCAGGAACGUUGUUCGGAGUGCUGGGAUGUUCAUGGCUGCCAAUGGUUCUGGGUGUUUCCUUACUAGCUCAAGCAAAAGUCAAUACAAUUUCUGGUCCUUCAUAUGGCUUGGUUCGAUCUAGUUUGAUCGCUCAGAAAAGUAAUAGCACAUCAACAAUGAACCUUAUGACUUGAGGCAUCAUUUGCGUAGCAACAACAGCAAGAGACGAGUUAUGCAGUGGCCACUCGUGGUAAGCCUACCUCAAAGUAAGCUCACACACGUCUUUAGUGAGAGUGCUAGUGAUGGGACCUGAAAGAAACACAUGAAAGACUUGCCAGUCUUCUUAAAAAUGAGAAUAAUUUCCCUCCAGUUCUGCAUCCCCUGCACGGCUAUGCAAAUACAUGCACAUACGCUCACCAAGACGUACAGAGGAGAUAUGCAACUCAAACAUCUUUGAUGGAUUUACAAUACAGUGCAAUAGCCUCACACGUUCCUAUAAAGGAGAUGCGCAAAUACUCACAUCCAGACAUACACGUGGCAGCUAUACAUUUUAAAUCAGCCUUCUCAGAAAAUAGAGCGUUUCCUCUCUGAAGCAGAGCCUCUUUUUAUUUCAGUAUUAAAAAACAAAUUCCAACCUGCUGUAAAGACUCCCUCCUUCUCUCUCCCCCAAUAAUCCCCCCACCCUUCAGCCUCUCUUCCUCUCUCCAUCAUCUCUCUCUCUCUCUCUAGCGUUCUCUCCACAAUAUUUGCAUAAUUUCUCUGCCGUAUUCUGAUGUAUGCGUGUGAAUAAUAAAGCUCAUGGGCGCGGCGUGCCAGGCUGCCACUGUUCAUUACGACCGCGCACAGCAAAGCUAGGCUCCGCAGGGCCCUCAUUAGCUAUUCCACUCAGAAUAAAGGCUCACUCACUCUCUCUCUUCCUAAUGCGCUCGCUCUCUCGCUCGCUUGCACCCGCAACUCUCUCUUAUACUCUCUCUCUCUCUCUCGCACACACACUUUUUUUUGUCACUCACUUUUUCUCUCUUUCGUAUUUUACUAUUUCUCUCUCUAACUGGUGUUAUACUCUCUAAGUUUAGGGUCAGCAUUGGAAAAAUGUAACUAUUUAGUGUCACAUUACACUUAAUUAUGUUUUAUAGGUUAGAAUUAGUUAAAAGGAUAGUUCAUCUCAAAAUUACAAUUCUGCCAUAAACCUCACCAAUUCAAUCCUGUAUGAUUUUUUUUCUUCUUCCAUGGAACAAAAGUUAUUUAAAAAAAGGUUUGCUUUUUUGGACCCUAUUAACUUUCACUGUAUGGACAAAAACAGUUAAAACACACUUUUGUGUGUGUGUGUGUGUGUGUGUUCCACACAUUUGGAACAACAUGGUGGUAAAUAACAUUAUUUUUGGGGGAUGAACAAUCACUUCAGUUCAUUAUGAACUAGGAUGAAUUAACAAUGAACAAUAGGAUGUUUAUAAAUUAAACAAAAUUAAUAAAUGCUAAGUUUGUAAAUGCUGUAAACCUCUGAACUUAUGUUAACUAACAUUAAGAACCUUACUAUAAAAAACAACCAAUUAUUGGUUAAUCGUCUCUUUCUAUAGUCAAUGUCGUGUUUGUACAAUACAGUGUAAAGUUUGGGUGCAAUGUAAGCAUCGACAUCAAGCUACAUAAAAAAAAUAAAUACAUUUAAUUGAACCACACGUUAAAUGCAUUAAUUUUCUCUUUCUUUGACUUUCUCCUAUUUUAAAGCUCUAAACAAAGAGACACCUCCAGGCCUGAAGAUGGUGCUGUAAUUUGUUUUUUCCCCAUCUCCUUCUAACUCUGUGGCCAUGGUUAUAAUGACCGUGUUAAGAUUCUUGCCCUCAUCUGACCUCCAUCGCCUUCAGAGUGAGACGACCCACUGUAUAAUCCUCCCACCACUCCAAUGUGCCACUUGAAUACACACGCCCUUCCGCUCAUACACACACUCACACAGAAGCACCUAAAGACACAGACAUUCUCUCUCUUUCCUUCUCUAUUUCACCCUUCCUCAUUAACCACUGUUCUAGCUAAUUAACACAUCCAGAGAGCCAUUAACAUCUCCUCCCUGCACAGGGAGACGGAAAGGAGUGAGAGGGGAAGUCCCCUGAACACUGAAGGGCACACAUACACACACGCACACACUGUCCAGUUUCACCAGACAGUGGAGAGACUGGAUACUGUCACCUCAAUGAACUUAACUCUUACUUUUUAGAACCGAACUCUGGAUUUCUUGUUCAUUCAAAAUUAGUUGGUUUUGCAAUUGUUCAGGCAAAUUUCUUCUUCACUAUUCAAAAUUGUGCCUCUAGGCUUUUUUAAGCAAUACUUUGUGUCUGUCCAAUGUUUUCUUUUUUGUUUUAUUACUGAUAAUUACAUCUACAGUCAGUUAACUUUGGUGGUAGCAUAAUUGUUAAAAAUCUGGAGUGGUGCACUUUAAAAAUUGUUAACAUUAGGCAAUGCAUUAGCUAUUCUAUAUAUAAUACACAAGGUAUUAUGAACAAAAAAACUAUUUUUUAUUAAUUUUAAAAAAUAUAUAUUAAUUUUCAGCCUUUAUUAAUUUUGGUUGAUGUAAAUUUCAACAUAUUUUAAUAAAUUAAUGUAUUAUGAAUACACAUGAAUUAACAACAGCACAUUCAUGAAUUAACCUAGAUUAGAAAAUGUUGUAGAAAUGUUACAAAAAUAUUGUUGACCAUGACACCAUACAGUCAUGCAUUUCCUCAUGUUAACAAACUGAAACUUACUUUAAAGUGUUACUGGAACAGACAAUGCAGAAGAUCUUGAUCAUACAAUAUUAAUUAAAUGAAAAGAGUGAAAUUAUUCUCAUGUGCAAUAUUUGCUGCAGUUACCAAUGUUACAAUGGAAAAAGGAUCAAAAAGACAUGCUAUAUAUAUAUAUAUAUAUAUAAAAUAUUUAAAUUAUAGCAUGUGACAUCAUAAUAAAAUCCUACUCAGAAUAACUUCACUACAUCAUAUUUGUGUUUUGAUACAAAUAAAAAAAGACAAAGACAGAUAAUCACUCAUACUUGUAGACCGUAUUUUAUACAAAUAAACAGCUCGUAUUUGGCUACUCAUUGUUAAAAGUAACCAUUAUUAGGAUGAUCAGUCCUGGAAAUGCAGUUACAUUGAAGAGAAAGGAAAUUAUAUGGGUCCUCCACCCUUGUUCAUUCCCACUGUAACUACUGCCUUCCCUCUUGCCCGUGUGUGUGAGUGUGUGUGCGUGUGCGUGUGUUUUGUCCGGUUUUAGUAGCCUGUGCGUGCACACCCUCCAGUGACAGAUGGCGUCAAAGGAUCAUGGCUCUCAUUGUCCUCUGAUGGCUAUUUGUGUGCGUGGAGGACAGCCGUUACUGAAGGGAGAAACUAAAGCGGCUCCGCACACCACUGAGGCCCCCUAGACAGUGGAGGAAUCAGGGCUGCUGCUAUAUUCGCUGAAACACCUGAGAGCAGAGCUGCUCAUCGACCAACCCCCUCUACUUUAAUUAACCAGUGUGCUAGGAACACGGCCGGUCAUUCAUAUCUCAUCAGUAUUUUAGUGACGGGAACGGAUUUCCUAGCAAGCACACAUCAUUGUGUCAUACAAUAGCGAUUCUCUCAAAGACCUGAUUUUGUUCCUAAUAUUUCUGUUGUGUUUAAAGCAUGGAAUUACAGCAAUAAGAAAAAGAAUGAAGAAUGAGAGAAAAAUAAUAAUCACAAAAAGUAAAAAUAAUUAACUAAAAAACACCAUAAUUAUUACUUGUGUUUCUACUAGUGUUUAUCUUAUAUCCAGGCCAUAUGCAUAACAUUGGAGCUAAGUGAUAGAAUACAUAUAUAUUUCAAAUAUGAAUUAAUAUAAAUAAAUCAAUAGUAAAUAUACAUUUAAUUGGGCAACAAUCAAAAUAUGGAGGAAAUGACUGCAUUUCUUUAAAUACAGUAAGAACAGUAAUACAUGUAAUUUAGUCGUGUGAUGGCAAUUACUCCCAAAUGAGCCAUUACUCCAGUCUUCAGUGUCACAUGAUGCUUCAGAAAUCAUUCUAUUAUGCUGAUUUAGUGCUCAGAAAGGAUUUCAUAUUAUUAUCAAUAUUUCAAUCAGUUGUACUCCUUAAUAUUUGUGUGGGAUUUUUUCUCUCUCAAGAUUUCAGCAUUUUUUGUAAGUUUUAUUGUCACCUUUGAUUCAUUUCAUGCAUCUUUGCUAAACAAAAAUAUUAGUUUCUUAAAAUAAAUAAAUAAAUAAUAAUAAUAAUAAUCUUAACCCCAACCUAACCCAAACAUUUGAAUGCUAGUGUGCAUUAUAACCAAACAGAAAAAUAUAAUUGUUUUUCAAUUUGACUCGUGACCCAGGACUGAAACUAGUGUUGUCAAAAUGGCCAGCACUUUGGAACCAAGUCGAUAUUUAAAUAAAUACUUUUUUUUUUUUUUUUUUAAAAAGGAAAUAAAACGAUACCAGCCUUUUGUACAAUACUGAUACAAGGUCAAUCAAGACCUGCUGAUAGGUGGCUGCUUUCAAAUGCAUCAAAGGUUUCUAUUUACAAUGUGUUUUUUGAUAUUUGAUAUUUUGUUAAAUUAAGUAAGGCAGCAUGCAGAUGUUAUUGUAAUGUAUUAUUUAAAUAGUAUUAGCAAUUAAUUAAUUACCCCAUGUUGCACUAGGGAGGCUUUCUUUUAUUUCUUUAUUUAUUUGAUUCCAUACUGUUUGCUAAAAGUUCUGUAAUUUAUUAGUCGAUAUAUAAUACAGCAUGUGGUGUAUGCCAUGCCUCGUCUUAUUCAUUUUGGUUAGUAAACAUUAUAUAAGCUAGUUUGUCAUUGUAGCCUACUGUUUUAUAGCCUUUACUGUUUUACUGUUUUUAAUUAAGAACAAUAAAUCCAUCUUUUAA
This is a long non-coding RNA of Onychostoma macrolepis, 5997 nucleotides long. RefSeq lists it as uncharacterized. The transcript is spliced from 2 exons. Lineage: Eukaryota; Metazoa; Chordata; Actinopteri; Cypriniformes; Cyprinidae. The record is from RefSeq and is a predicted model, not a curated record.